This 633-nucleotide long non-coding RNA is filed under the name Ananas comosus (pineapple). RNAcentral describes it as "long non-coding RNA (ACOM_LNC001920)". Lineage: Eukaryota; Viridiplantae; Streptophyta; Magnoliopsida; Poales; Bromeliaceae. The record is from RNAcentral.
CUCCUAAGCACCUAGUGCGAGCGACCAGCCCUACGAGUGACCUCUAGCACGCUUCACACCUAGCAACGCUAAAGUGCUACUGCCAACACACUCACGGCUGAAUCAAAUCCGUACUCUACGAGCACCUAUGCGCUCGAGCGCUCUAUAUGUCUCUAUUGCGUGUCAUACUAAGCCCAGCAUCAGGCAACUUUUGCCUAUGCACACCGACUACACGAGCACGACCCACCUACCUCAAUUCGAGGUACUACUAGGUCCACGUGCACGUACCUGACCACUAACCGAUCAUUUCCUCAACAGUGAUUCUAUUUUUACUGUUCGAUCUACCGGAACAAUCUGCAAAACGCUCGGUCUCACAAGAGUUUCACGAACAUCGCGACUAGACUCUCGCAAUCAGCAACUCGCAUUAGUGUUGAGAGUUGGUCAACCAUUACCAUCUCUACCAUGAGUCUCACCUCUUAUCCACAGGCUAUCACCAGCGAUUUGCUAGAGCCCUCAGACUCUCUACCUGUUCCAGCAGGUAUUACAUUCCCCCACACAAGCAUACUCGGGUAUCAACACUUAUCUGUUCACUUGAUCACUACUAUAUUAAGGCAUAAAUAGUAGGGACAAUCACCUAAUCAAUGCAUGCAAUGC